RNAcentral lists this ribosomal RNA (253 nucleotides) under uncultured bacterium. RNAcentral's name for it is "partial 16S ribosomal RNA". It matches the Rfam family "Bacterial small subunit ribosomal RNA", at positions 524 to 776 of the family's 1533-position model. The record is from RNAcentral.
UACGUAGGUGGCAAGCGUUGUCCGGAAUUAUUGGGCGUAAAGCGCGCGCAGGCGGUCCUUUAUGUCUGAUGUGAAAGCCCACGGCUCAACCGUGGAGGGUCAUUGGAAACUGGGGGACUUGAGUGCAGAAGAGGAGAGUGGAAUUCCACGUGUAGCGGUGAAAUGCGUAGAGAUGUGGAGGAACACCAGUGGCGAAGGCGACUCUCUGGUCUGUAACUGACGCUGAGGCGCGAAAGCGUGGGGAGCAAACAGG